CAAUAGCGUAUAUUAACGUUGUUGCAGUUAAAAAGCUCGUAGUUGGAUUUCUGGAGGGAGCGUCGGCCCGUAUUUACGAGUGCGUGACGUCUCUGUCCAUCCUUGCGGGAAGGCACGGCAUUGAUUUGUUGUGUCGGAUCGCAUCAUUUACUGUGAAAAAAUUAGAGUGUUCAAAGCAGGCUUUCGCUUGAAUACAUUAGCAUGGAAUAAUAAGAGAGGACUGUGGUGCUAUUUUGUUGGUUGAGCCUAAAGUAAUGAUUAAUAGGGAUAGUUGGGGGCACCUGUAUUGCGUUGUCAGAGGUGAAAUUCUUGGAUUUACGCAAGACAAACAGCUGCGAAAGCGUCUGCCAAGGAUGUUUUCAUUAA
Molecule: ribosomal RNA, 366 nt
Filed under: uncultured eukaryote
Lineage: Eukaryota
Description: partial 18S ribosomal RNA
Rfam family: Eukaryotic small subunit ribosomal RNA
Source: RNAcentral